Molecule: non-coding RNA, 118 nt
Organism: Picea glauca (white spruce)
Lineage: Eukaryota; Viridiplantae; Streptophyta; Pinopsida; Pinales; Pinaceae
Source: Rfam
AUGUACAUGCCUACAACGUUAAUGAAAUGGAUCCCAUUAGAACUCUGUAGUUAAGCACGUUUGAGCUAGAGUAGUAGUUGGAUGGGUAACCUCUCCGAAAGUCCUAGUGUUUUACAUG